CCCAACGUCCGUGUACUGGUGGUGCUGCGGUGAUGACUUCAUCCUCGACCUCGGCGCCGGCUGGACGGUGCCGUAGGCGCAACCCCGGUGUCGACGGCUGCGACUACGCUUCUACUACACUCUACUACUGUAUAACUUACUUGAUGGCCUGGAGUAUUUUCUAGUCUCAGAAUAAUCCUCUAGAAUUUGUUGGCUGUUACUCUAGCUACUCUAGUUGCUGUUGUGCCUAUACUGUGCCUCUGUUUGGAUGAUGAAUUUAUCAUCAGCACUCUGGAUCUAGUGGCUUGUGGUUCGGCUUGUAUGAAUACCUAUAUAUAGUUUCUUAGCUGCAUCUAGGAUACUACUUGGUUGGCCUGGGAUGAAUGUCCUGGAUCCUAAGUAGUUCCCUGUAACAUGUUGAUUAUUACUGGUGGCUUAUGGUGAUGACUAAAGCCUGUGCAUAUAUGAUCUUGGACAGUAGUGUUGUGGAGAAACACAAAGUGAGCUUUGAGUUUCUAGUAUAUGAUCUAGUUGCAAAGUAGCAACUAGAGAUGAUUUGGUUUUGCAAGGUUGGUUUUUAUUGGUGGAUCUGGCUGUCCCUUGUUUGAUAGUUUCAACUGAUAAGAACGGAUAUAUGUUUGAUUUUC
Long non-coding RNA from Lolium perenne, 626 nucleotides. RefSeq lists it as uncharacterized. Lineage: Eukaryota; Viridiplantae; Streptophyta; Magnoliopsida; Poales; Poaceae. The record is from RefSeq and is a predicted model, not a curated record.